UGUAGGUGCAGUUGCUAGCUUUUAUGUGUAACGUCUGAUUGUCUGUCUUAUUUGAACUUUUUUAUAAUUAGUAUUUUUAUUGCUAUUAGAUGAUAAAACAUAAACUUAUUUUUUUAUUUUUUAUAUUUUUUUUAAAUAAGACGGAUGGUCAAAUGUUGGAUAAAAAACCCACUACUAUAUGUAAA
Oryza sativa Japonica Group (Japanese rice) is the source of this 185-nucleotide microRNA precursor. It matches the Rfam family "MIR812 microRNA precursor family". NCBI's taxonomy places the organism in Eukaryota, Viridiplantae, Streptophyta, Magnoliopsida, Poales, Poaceae. The record is from Rfam.